Molecule: ribosomal RNA, 474 nt
Filed under: uncultured organism
Description: partial 16S ribosomal RNA
Rfam family: Bacterial small subunit ribosomal RNA
Source: RNAcentral
UACACUCCUGCGGGAGGCAGCAGUGGGGAAUAUUGCACAAUGGGCGCAAGCCUGAUGCAGCCAUGCCGCGUGUAUGAAGAAGGCCUUCGGGUUGUAAAGUACUUUCAGCGGGGAGGAAGGCAAUACGGUUAAUAACCGUGUUGAUUGACGUUACCCGCAGAAGAAGCACCGGCUAACUCCGUGCCAGCAGCCGCGGUAAUACGGAGGGUGCAAGCGUUAAUCGGAAUUACUGGGCGUAAAGCGCACGCAGGCGGUCUGUCAAGUCGGAUGUGAAAUCCCCGGGCUCAACCUGGGAACUGCAUUCGAAACUGGCAGGCUGGAGUCUUGUAGAGGGGGGUAGAAUUCCAGGUGUAGCGGUGAAAUGCGUAGAGAUCUGGAGGAAUACCGGUGGCGAAGGCGGCCCCCUGGACAAAGACUGACGCUCAGGUGCGAAAGCGUGGGGAGCAAACAGGAUUAGAAACCCUGGUAGUCCCA